This 449-nucleotide ribosomal RNA is filed under the name uncultured bacterium. RNAcentral's name for it is "partial 16S ribosomal RNA". It matches the Rfam family "Bacterial small subunit ribosomal RNA", at positions 354 to 796 of the family's 1533-position model. The record is from RNAcentral.
GUAGGGAAUCUUCCACAAUGGACGAAAGUCUGAUGGAGCAACGCCGCGUGAGUGAAGAAGGUCUUCGGAUCGUAAAACUCUGUUGUUAGAGAAGAACGUGCAUGAUAGUAACUGAUCAUGUAAUGACGGUAUCUAACCAGAAAGCCACGGCUAACUACGUGCCAGCAGCCGCGGUAAUACGUAGGUGGCAAGCGUUGUCCGGAUUUAUUGGGCGUAAAGGGAACGCAGGCGGUUUUUUAAGUCUGAUGUGAAAGCCUUCGGCUUAACCGAAGAAUAGCAUUGGAAACUGGAAGACUUGAGUGCAGAAGAGGAGAGUGGAAUUCCAUGUGUAGCGGUGAAAUGCGUAGAUAUAUGGAGGAACACAGUGGCGAAAGCGGCUCUCUGGUCUGUAACUGACGCUGAGGUUCGAAAGCGUGGGUAGCAAACAGGAUUAGAAACCCUGGUAGUCC